GAUGAACGCUGACAGAAUGCUUAACACAUGCAAGUCGAUGGGGAAGUGGUGCUUGCACCAUGGCAACCAUGGCGGACGGGUGAGUAACGCGUAAGGGACUUACCUGCAGGACUGGGAUAACAGGGGGAAACUCCUGACAAGACCGGAUAAUGUCAUGGAUCUGCAUGGCUUUAUGAUGAAAGGAGACGCCUGCGGAGAGCCUUGCGUCCUAUUAGCUAGUUGGUGAGGUAAUGGCUCACCAAGGCGAAGAUAGGUAGCCGGCCUGAGAGGGUGGACGGCCACAAGGGGACUGAGAUACGGCCCUUACUACUACGGGAGGCAGCAGUGGGGAAUAUUGGACAAUGGGGGCAACCCUGAUCCAGCAAUUCUGUGUGCACGAAGAAGGUUUUCGGAUUGUAAAGUGCUUUCAGCAGGGAAGAAGUAAGUGACGGUACCUGCAGAAGAAGCGACGGCUAAAUACGUG
RNAcentral lists this ribosomal RNA (463 nucleotides) under uncultured bacterium. RNAcentral describes it as "partial 16S ribosomal RNA". It matches the Rfam family "Bacterial small subunit ribosomal RNA", at positions 28 to 507 of the family's 1533-position model. The record is from RNAcentral.